This 630-nucleotide ribosomal RNA is filed under the name uncultured Gammaproteobacteria bacterium. RNAcentral's name for it is "bacterial SSU rRNA". It matches the Rfam family "Bacterial small subunit ribosomal RNA", at positions 63 to 685 of the family's 1533-position model. Lineage: Bacteria; Pseudomonadati; Pseudomonadota; Gammaproteobacteria. The record is from RNAcentral.
CGAGCGGUAACAUGAUUUGUAGCAAUACAAAUUGAUGACGAGCGGCGGACGGGUGAGGAACACGUAGGAAUUUACCCUCAAGCGGGGGACAACCAAUGGAAACGUUGGCUAAUACCGCAUAAUCUCGAGAGAGCAAAGCUGCUCGUAAGGGUGGCACUUGAGGAGGAGCCUGCGUCCGAUUAGCUAGUUGGUGAGGUAAGAGCUCACCAAGGCGAUGAUCGGUAACUGGUCUGAGAGGACGACCAGUCACACUGGGACUGAGACACGGCCCAGACUCCUACGGGAGGCAGCAGUGGGGAAUCUUGGACAAUGGGGGCAACCCUGAUCCAGCGAUGCCGCGUGAGUGAAGAAGGCCUUCGGGUCGUAAAGCUCUUUAGGUUGGGACGAAGUGUGCGGGAGGAAAUGCCCGUAUGUUGACGGUACCGACAGAAUAAGCACCGGCAAACUCUGUGCCAGCAGCCGCGGUAAUACAGAGGGUGCAAGCGUUAAUCGGAGUUACUGGGCGUAAAGGGCGCGUAGGCGGUAAGGAGGGUGUGAUGUGAAAGCCCCGGGCUUAACCUGGGAAGUGCAUCGCAAACUAACUAACUAGAGUAGAUGAGAGGGUGGCGGAAUUUCCGGUGUAGCGGUGAA